GAUGAACGCUGGCGGCGUGCCUAAUACAUGCAAGUCGAGCGAAAAGACGAGGAAGUUGCCUCCCUUGCUUUCGCGGCGGACGGGUGAGAAACAUGUGGAUAACAUACCUUUAAGACUGGGAUAAAUUACGGAAACCGGAGCCAAUAACGGCAAAUCUACUCAACAGCAAGGAUCAAUAGUGACAGACGGUUUUCCUGUCAAUGAUCGCUGGUUGCGCGCCGCAUUAGCUAGUUGGUAAGGUAACGGCUUACCAAGGCAACGACGCGUAGCCGACCUGAGCGAGGGAUCGGCCACACGGGAACUAGGACACGGUCCGGACUCCAACGGAAGGCAGCGGGAGGAAUACUGCAGCAUUGGGCGAAGGCCUGACGGAGCAAGGCGGCUGGAGUGAUGAGGCUCUUCGGAUCGUAAAUCGCUGUUGUGAGGAGAGAACAAGUAUGGAUGUAACUAUUCACGUCUGGACUGUACCGAAGCAGAAAGCCACGGUAAACUACUG
This 496-nucleotide ribosomal RNA is filed under the name uncultured bacterium. RNAcentral describes it as "partial 16S ribosomal RNA". It matches the Rfam family "Bacterial small subunit ribosomal RNA", at positions 28 to 506 of the family's 1533-position model. The record is from RNAcentral.